UUAAUAUUUGUUUUUUACUGAAGAUACUGCUACUACAAAAGGGUUUAAAUGUGGCCACUGGCGGGCGAACCCGCCAGGGAAACAGGUACUCAUAAACAAAGGGUGUUAUCUCAAUGGGGACGAAUCCCCACGGUAAUGAUCCUUCCGCAGGUUCACCUACGGAAA
This 165-nucleotide unclassified non-coding RNA is filed under the name uncultured fungus. RNAcentral's name for it is "sequence contains ITS1". Lineage: Eukaryota; Fungi. The record is from RNAcentral.